AGAGUUUGAUCCUGGCUCAGAUUGAACGCUGGCGGAAUGCUUUACACAUGCAAGUCGAACGGCAGCACGGGUUCUUGCACCUGGUGGCGAGUGGCGAACGGGUGAGUAAUGCGUCGGAACGUACCGAGUAAUGGGGGAUAACGCACCGAAAGGUGUGCUAAUACCGCAUACGCCCUGAGGGGGAAAGUGGGGGAUCGUAAGACCUCACGUUAUUCGAGCGGCCGACGUCUGAUUAGCUAGUUGGUGGGGUAAUGGCUCACCAAGGCGACGAUCAGUAGCGGGUCUGAGAGGAUGAUCCGCCACACUGGGACUGAGACACGGCCCAGACUCCUACGGGAGGCAGCAGUGGGGAAUUUUGGACAAUGGGCGAAAGCCUGAUCCAGCCAUUCCGCGUGAGUGAAGAAGGCCUUCGGGUUGUAAAGCUCUUUCAGUUGGAACGAAACGGUACGCUCUAACAUAGCGUGCUAAUGACGGUACCGACAGAAGAAGCACCGGCUAACUACGUGCCAGCAGCCGCGGUAAUACGUAGGGUGCGAGCGUUAAUCGGAAUUACUGGGCGUAAAGCGUGCGCAGGCGGAUUGUUAAGCAAGACGUGAAAUCCCCGGGCUUAACCUGGGAAUGGCGUUUUGAACUGGCAGUCUAGAGUGUGUCAGAGGGGGGUGGAAUUCCACGUGUAGCAGUGAAAUGCGUAGAGAUGUGGAGGAACACCGAUGGCGAAGGCAGCCCCCUGGGAUAACACUGACGCUCAUGUACGAAAGCGUGGGUAGCAAACAGGAUUAGAUACCCUGGUAGUCCACGCCCUAAACGAUGUCAACUGGUUGUUGGGGGAGUGAAAUCCCUUAGUAACGAAGCUAACGCGUGAAGUUGACCGCCUGGGGAGUACGGUCGCAAGAUUAAAACUCAAAGGAAUUGACGG
RNAcentral lists this ribosomal RNA (916 nucleotides) under uncultured bacterium. RNAcentral describes it as "bacterial SSU rRNA". It matches the Rfam family "Bacterial small subunit ribosomal RNA", at positions 8 to 916 of the family's 1533-position model. The record is from RNAcentral.